UACGGGAAGGAUGAGAAGCUUCGACCAAGGUUCGAUUCGAGCGCAGCGAGAAAGCGUUGCCGCAGGCAACGACCCGAAGGGCGAAGCGCGCAGCGCUGAGUCAUCCUUCCCCCACCACCA
This 120-nucleotide small RNA is filed under the name Salmonella enterica. RNAcentral's name for it is "RtT RNA". It matches the Rfam family "RtT RNA", at positions 15 to 130 of the family's 130-position model. Rfam says of the family: This family represents a bacterial cis-regulatory element known as RtT RNA. The exact function of RtT is unknown although it is thought that it may be involved in changing the cellular response in relation to amino acid starvation. Lineage: Bacteria; Pseudomonadati; Pseudomonadota; Gammaproteobacteria; Enterobacterales; Enterobacteriaceae. The record is from RNAcentral.